UUUGUAUGUUGUUGCUUAUAUCCCAUGAU
RNAcentral lists this non-coding RNA (29 nucleotides) under Rattus norvegicus (Norway rat). Lineage: Eukaryota; Metazoa; Chordata; Mammalia; Rodentia; Muridae. The record is from RNAcentral.